UGUCAAAAACACUUUACAGAUGAACAUAGAAAACAGAAGGAAAUAAUUAUUCUAAAAUAUGUUACUGUAAACAGAAACGGCAUCAUGUGUAAAUCAAUAAUGAGAAUUUGUGAAUCAGUUUAGGAUGGUGGUGUGAAACUGUACAGGGCUGUACACGUCAGGGAAAAGAUGAAGGCAAGAAACAUUAAAUAUAAUGAGUGUUUGGUUGGUAGUGAAUGGCAAUGUGUGUGUGACAGACGAUCUCAGUAUUAGAUUAUAGAUGUGUGGUGGUGGCGCACACAGUGCUUCAGACACUAGAACAGCAGACACUGAGCUUAUUUACAGGAGUUUCACAACAACCCAGCAGAGACAAAAAAAUCAGACCAACAAACCAAACCAAACCUCAUCAACGAGCAUACAGAGUGUGUGUUCAACAUGUGUACCACACGCAAACACACUGCACAUAUCUGAACACAAGCAUAGCAGGAAUUAUCAGAGUCACAGGAUCAUGUGUUCAUCCAGAAUCAGAAAUCAGCAUUGAGGGAAAAAGAGUCAGUGAAUGCAGAGAAACACCUGCGUCAUCAUUAUACAGACUCUGCUGCUGUGUGAAAACAGGAUACAAAUAAAAUAUAUGUAGUAAAUUACACACCGAGGGCAGUAAACAGAAGACAGAGAAGGGGAUUCAGCUUCUCAAUAUCUGUAUUAAUGCUAACCCAUUUCUGAAAAAGAGGGAACAACUCAAAGGUAAACACACACAUGGUCACAUAUUAAAAUAACUGAGGCAGAUUUCCAGGAUUAUAGAGGGAGCAGUUGACUUUUAAUACUCAUAUCCAAAACGGAUUAGAUAAAUGUAAAAAGGGAUGAAUGUAAUGGGGUGAAGCCAUCAUUUAACAGAUCAGGAGAUCAGCAAUAGCUUACAGCAGUUCAAUAUACAGCUCUGCUUCUCAAACCGGCCUUAAACAAUGAAAACUAUUGAAAACACACUGUAGGAUCAUUUCUGGAGCUUUCCAGACAUCUUUAUUUUGGCAUGUUGUGCUAACAGAAAGAGAAAGCAGAGUAUUUAGUGAAAGAGACUCUAAAGGAGUCAGAUGUGGGCUUCAGGAUGUGUCUUCAUACAAAAUGAGGAAACACAAAUGAAAGCUGUUAUUGUGGACUGAAACACUCUCACGUAUAUUAGUGUAAUGUCAACAACAAAUAUGCCAGCAGUUUCAGUCACUAAAGAUUGGGGUGGGAAAACCCUUUCACUGUUAGAUUGCAGAAAAGCAAAAAGCAAAAAGACAAUGGUAACAUAAUGUUGCAGAAGAGAUGAAACAGAUUAGAUCUCCCCGUCCCUCCAGUCCUCAUUGUGUGAAACUAAGCUGCACUUCCCCCUCCAGUCCAGUAGGUGGCAGAAUCUGCACCUUUACACUGUUUGCCAAACACCAGUAAACAGAAGAAGAAAGUUGUUGAAAACGCCUCAUCUUAAACCCUUCAGAAACCCUGCUGUUUCCAGCUCUCAGAUAAGACCAGUGUCUGAUGAUCUUGUGUAAAUGAUUGUCUGUGCAAAUGAUGUGGAGUUUUGUUGAUUAGUCUUUAAUGAGGUUAUUGGUUUGUGGAGGCUUGUGUUUAUACUGUAACUCUUAUAUUUGUCUGAGAACAUGUUAAAGAUGAAGCAGCAUCUGUCUAGUGCAAUAUCACAGCUGAGCAAGAAGACAAGCACAAGAAUAAAAUCCCCACAUCCUCUCCAUCAGCUCAUCUACAGAUCAGAUCAGUGAAGCGAGUGAUCAGCUGUAACUCACGGCCUGUUUGUUGGCUGAGUGUUAGAGAAAUGAUGGCGAAUACACCACAGCUCUGUGUUUAAUCUGUCUCAGAUACCAUCAAGCAGAUCUAUAAUAGUGGAGGAACCCUUUCUGCUUACCUGGUGAUGCUGACCGGCCGAGAGGAGCAGGAGAGAACACACGGACAGGUGAACCGCUGAGCAAACACUGGAGGAGAAACACACAGAGAGGCUGUGAUUGCGGUGCAGGUCAGUGUAAUCCUGCAGAGUGUACCUGCGGUGGAGUGUGAUGCUGAGCAUGGAAACCCUACAGAUGUAGAAAUCCUGCUUCAGCUUGCUCUCCUCGCUUCAUUUAACAGUAGUGGUGGGCAAAGUGACGCUUCAUGAAACUGAAACAGUUGAAGCAAAUGUGUCAAAGCUUUGAAACGUUUCGAAACUCUACAGUGACACCUAGGGGUAAUUUUUUAUACAUUGCUCUGGAGCAGCUUCAGCAAAGAACAAUUGAGCAAAUUGAGGUAUUAAAACCCACUUUGUACCUUUGAACCUACAAGUGUUAUAGCAGAGCGGUCAGAGUUCCUGACUAUUAUGCAGGGAAACUGGGUUCGAAUCCAGGCAAAUGCAGGUAUGUUGAAAUGCUCUGUUCUUGUAUUGUUUUGUUUCAACAUUGGUCAGACAUCAGAAUAAACACUAUUUGUGAAU
Molecule: non-coding RNA, 2434 nt
Organism: Danio rerio (zebrafish)
Lineage: Eukaryota; Metazoa; Chordata; Actinopteri; Cypriniformes; Danionidae
Source: RefSeq, a predicted model, not a curated record